GUGCCACGGGGCCACCAAAUUUAUAUGCGCAUAUUAUUAUCUGGUAGCUAACUGUCUCCUCCACUCACAUUUCUCGUUCAUUACAGGCUGUGUUAAGGAAUUCUCAUCCCAUUCUCCCCUUGUUUCAAAUUCUAGAACAGAAAAGAAUAAAAUUAUGUGUAACUAACAGAGCUUUAGGAAAAGGAGCUGAUCAAGAUGCUUCUUGUAACCUCCUCUCUCUGUGCAGGAAAUAAAUACUCUGUAUUUGGGGUACGGUUCUUAAAGUUUCAGAGAUCCAAAAGGAUACACCUUACAUUGAUCAAAAGUUUGACUGUAUGCUCAAGCAGUGCUACAAGUAAUGCCUCUUUUUCUUCUGCAAUUAAGUUAGUUGAUGCACAAGUUCUGUACUGUUUGGCACCUGCCUUGGGCCAUAACCAGGGGAUUGGGGGUGGGGGAGGGAGACAAUUUUGUCCAUGCUUGUGGACUUUGCAAAUUAAUAUUUUUCAUGAUCUUGGUGCGCACAGCUUUGAUUUUUUUACCAUCUCUUUAGGAUGUUGGGAAUUUUAGGAAUCUCACCCAGAAUGCAAUUCUAGACUUUCAGCAAUUGCAAAUGCUCUUGACAAAAUGAAGCUUUCAUCAAAGCUUUUAGCAGGGUCACGAGUUCCUCCAACUUUGGAGCACUCUCACGAGCAGCAAGAGAUGACACAAACACCUCCCAUGAGGCGGGGAGAGUGUUCAAGAGGUGAACCACUUGCAUGGGCUCAAUGGGCUUCAUGUUGAUUGCCUCCAAUUCACAAAUCAAGGCUUGAAAGAUAUGCACGUGCUCUGCGAUCUUUCCUCCUUUUGCCAUCUUCAAGUCAUUUUACUUCCUCAUAGCUAGAGUCUUCCUCACGAGAAAGGGAUCAACAAAUUUUUUCUUGAAUUUCUCUUGCAUGACCUUAGCGGUUUUUAGGGUUUCAUACUUCGAAGUGUGGGAGUCGUGCAUAACCGCAAGGAGGAUAUGUCCAGCGAGCAUGUUUUUUGCACUCCCAUUGUGCAUAUGUAUCCCUUGUGGCCUGGGAUGCAUUCCCUCUAAGCUCUGGGGGUGGAUUCUCAGUGAGGAAUUUAUGUAGACCUUCCUCAUAGAACACAUAACCAAUCUUACACUUCCACAAGGAAUAAUUUGUUCCAUCAGAUCUUUUGGUUUUCAAGAUUUCAGCUAUAAAAUUCUUGGCUAGCAUCCUUCCUUUCUAAAAAAUACACGAAAACGAUCGAAAAUAAAAGGAAAUGUGGUAGUAAGAAAUCUGGCUUUGAUACCAAUGAAAGGUGGACUAUGUGAUCUAGCCAAAUAUGUGUAGUUUAAAAUUUUUCUCUUUUUCUUUUAUUAUACCGGCUGGAACACUUACAUGUGUCCAAGCAUUACAACUUUUUAAGUUAACAAAUUUUUUAAAAAAUAAAGAGUUACAACUUUGAUUCAAAGGGAGUAAAGAAAAUAAAGAAAGAAGAGGAUUCUCACUUGCUUGUUACACACAAAACUUCUUCAAUUACAUAGAACGGAUAGUAAAGAUAAUAAAGAAAGAAGAGGAUUCUUACUUGCUUGCCACACACAAAACUUCUUUCAUUGCAUAUAACAUAAUUACAUCCAAGAAGAUUUGAGAACAAGAAAGCAUGAAAAAGAUGAAAAGCCAGAAUAACUGCCAAGGAUUACCUCCAAGGACUUUGUACACCCCACAUUGGGUCCCUUUCAACAUUGGUGCACCGGAUCUUGGUCUAUCACUGAGUUCUAUUGAAUGAAAAGCCUAGGCAAACCCUUACUCAAAACAUGGGAGCAUGAAGCACAAUGGGAUAGGGAGCUUAGGGUUAACAAUGGCUAAGGCGUGGCCCCCUCUACUAUUAUUAUUUAAAAUCGUAAGAUUGAAAAUUAAAACAUAAGAGAAGAGGGUGAGACAGAGAGUGGCAUACCUGUCCUUGG
Non-coding RNA from Amborella trichopoda, 1930 nucleotides. Lineage: Eukaryota; Viridiplantae; Streptophyta; Magnoliopsida; Amborellales; Amborellaceae. The record is from RefSeq and is a predicted model, not a curated record.